Long non-coding RNA from Triticum aestivum (bread wheat), 3299 nucleotides. RefSeq lists it as uncharacterized. The record is from RefSeq and is a predicted model, not a curated record. NCBI's taxonomy places the organism in Eukaryota, Viridiplantae, Streptophyta, Magnoliopsida, Poales, Poaceae. The transcript has 3 exons.
UGAUUUGUAAUCGGGUUGUAACCCUAGCCGCCGGUGGUGAGCUGUACCUACUUUCCCAUUCUCGAACUCGGUCCACAAUAUCUCUGAAUGUUUGAAUACGAGUAAUGCUAGACGCACGGAGGGGAGGAUUACGGGACUCACAGACUAGCAAAUGUGGGAGAUUGGGAUUGGAGAAGAGGGGAGGAUGGGCCCCACCCCGGCUGAAAAUCAAGGGAAGAGAGAUUAGUUUGAGAGAAAAAUCCAUAAAGCCCUGUAAUAAUCCGUGCGUCUAAGGAUUAUCGGUUCGAAUACAAGUGCUAACUUCAAUUGUUGGUAGCUAUGUUGUCGGGUGAGCGAGAUGCGAGUGAUUCAUUAAUGCAAACCACGUGUGGAGUAGUGGGUUGUAGGCGACGUUGUAGUUGUAAUUGUAUUGUAAUCGAUGGUGGUUUGGGUUCUACACCUUCCCCUCUUUCUAUAAAAUAUGAUACGCACACCCGUGCAUAUUUGAGAUUUUGUUUUUGGUAUCACAGGUUACUCUCAGGCGGGUGAAUCUGGGGUGCAGAGGAGGUUGGGAUCUCUCGUAAAAUCCUUGCUCGAGCUCGGGUUCAGGUGGCGGAGAUCUUUCCGUGGCGGCCGGAGAGGCGUUGUUCAGAGCAUCCUAUGGCCAUUCCUAUGGACCUAUCUACACCUUCCCAAGUGGCAAGUGGAUCAAUGACACGAGCAUGUGCAAGAGCUCUCGAGACCGAGGUAUGAAGAACACCCUCUCGGAGAUCUUGUGACGACGGACAAGUCCCCAAGUACAUGGACGAAGGAGCACGACGGAAGGAACCGGAGAAGGUCUACAGGCCCCGCGCAUCUGGCCCCUGGAGAUGUCAACCACAACAACAACUCGGCUGAAGAUCACCUACAUGCACCGGACAUCCGGCCCAGCCCCGGAAAUCCGGCCCCUUCUAUAUAGAGAGCACCCGAAACUUGCCCCCCCCGGCCCGGACAUCUGGCCGUAGCCCCAAACAUCCGGCCUGACGCCUGGACAUCCGGCCCCUCCUGCCUGCGCAGUGUAUCUAGGUCGAGGCCCAUGUACCCCUUCGCCCCCUAGACUAUAUAUACUCUUCCUCUACCUACGUUUUAGGGUUAGCAUUGUGAUAGCUCAUUUUGGAGAUAGAGCUUUGCUGAUCCACUUGUACCUACUCCAUUGGAGACCUUGAGGAGUGCCAAGAGUUGAAGAACCGUUCAAGAAUUCCAUGCCCUCAACGUCAAGCUAAUCAAGAGGAGCACAAGGAGCAACCGCUCAAAGAUCCUCCUCCAUGACAAGAGCAUCAUUGCCAUCACCACCAACACAACGAAGAGCAACCUACGACAAGCUAAAGUUCAACAUGCCAAAGUUCUCCGAAAGCAACGAUCCCGAAUUACCUUUAAUGGGCAUUGAAGGUCGACAAGAUCUUUCUCUACACAACUAUGAAGAAGGGAAGGAAAUUGCCAUGGCAUCGCUUGAGUUCCAAGACUAUGUCCUCAUUUGGUGGGACCAAGUCAUUGAGCGACGAGAAGCAAAAGAUGACCCACCCAUCACAACAUGGAACCAAAUUAAGGAUGUCAUGCAAGCGUGCUUUGUGCCUACAUAUUAUAGCCUAGAUCUCUUCAAAAAGUUGCAACUCCUCAAGCAAGGCAUGAAGUCCGUUGAAGAGUAUUACAAGGAGAUGAAAAUCGCCAUGAUCUGAACCAAUGUCACAGAAGAUGAGAUGCAAACUAUGGCACUAUUCUUGAAUGGACUCAACCAUCCUAUCAAGAAGAUUGCGGAUUUCCAACCGUAUUCGAACCUACUCGAGCUAGUGCACCAAGCUACCAAGGCGGAGUGACAAGUGCAAUAUGAUUACAAGUACGUCAAGUACUCUUCCAGGACCUACAGUUCAUACGAUCAAGCUUGAGCGACUACAACGCCUUCUACCUCGACGAAAGCUACACCAAGCAACAACGACAAGUCAAGUUACAAGAAAACUUUGACAUCUUCAAGUCAUCCUCCUACUACAAGCAACUUCAAGCCGAGAGCUUCAUCACCAACUCCAACGGAUGAGACCGUCAAGACGAGUUCCAUCAAAUGCUUCACAUGUCAAGGCCGAGGCCAUAAGACAUUUGAGUGCCCCACUCGGUGCACCAUGAUCGCCAAUGAUGACGACACAUAUGACCCCAUGAGUGAGGAAGAAUUGGAAGCACUUGAGCACGUGGCUAUGCACCGGCGAGUGAAUGAAGACGAAGAUGACCAAGUGUUUUGUGACAAUGAUUCAAGUCCCGCUCUUGUUGUCUCCAAGGUCUUGAUGCUUCAACACCAACAAGACGAAGACCAACGUUGCCACAUCUUCCACGCCAAAGCGGGCAUCAAUGGACGUUGUGUGAAGGUCAUCAUCGACGGAGGAAGUUGCCACAAUUUGGCAAGUGAAGAGCUAUGUUCCAAGCUACAAUUGAUCAAGAUGAAGCAUCCUCAUCCCUACAAGGUCCAAUGGAUCAGCGACUUCGACACCAUUCAAGUGGAGCACACCAUUCAAGUCUCUUCAAGAUUGGAGCAUACGAAAACAUAUUGGAGUUUGAUGUGGUUCCCUUGUCCGCUUGCCACCUCCUACUUGGAUGACCUUGGCAAUUUGACCACGGCAUCAUCCACAAUGGGCAUACAAUCACUACAACUUCAAGAUGAAGGGAAAGGAGUACGUGCUACGACCUAUGUCGCCAAGCUAGGUGAUCGCUGACAAGUAGACAUUCACCCAUCGCGGAGAGAAUAGUGAGGGAGUGAGCCACCAAAAAGAGACUGUGCGCCACAAGCCCAAAAUGAGUGCUUCCACGAUGAGCAACAAGAAUAACUUAGUGCUUUUUGCUACCAAAAGAUACAUGGGAGAAGUGUGUGAGAACCCAUCGAGUGUUUUACACUAUGUCCUAGUGUGCAAAGACGGAGCGACAAGAACUAACACCUCUCACCACCCACCUUUAGUGUUGUUUAAUCUAUUGCAGGAAUUCAAGGACGUAUUCCCCGAUGAGCUACCUGUGGGUCUACCUCCACUACGAGGCAUCAAAACUGCAUCGAUCUCAUCCCCGGGGCACCUUUACCGAACAAGGCUGAUGAGGACAUCAAUACCAUUGUUACACCCACAGCCCCUGCUGCUAUACAUACUGGACCAAUUGCUAGAGCUCGGGCAUGCCAACUAAAUUACCAGGUACUUUCGUUUCUUGGUAAUGAUUCUAAUGUUCAUGAGAAUAUGAUGCUGCCUAAAUUGGAUACAUUUAUUUUGCUUACAAAUGAAUGGCCUAGCUUGAAAAAGGAUGAACAUUGGAGCAAG